AACAGUCUACUCUCUAAGAAAUUAGAGAGAUAUUUAAAAAGAAGAGAAAUUAAAAAUCUCAAUUUCUCUCUAAUUUCUCUUCUCUUUCUCAUUUUUAUUGAUGGAUGGUUAGAAACUUAGGAGCACAAAGACUGCUGUGCUCCUAAUAGCACAGUAGUUCUGCUUUCUCUUUCUCUCUCUCUAUAUAUAUAGCCUGGCUAUGGUACUUGCAAAAGCACAAAACACUUGGUGAUUGUAAGUUUUUUGCUGUUGGAUCUACCCCUCUGAUUAUUUUCACCUAUUAGAUCAUACUAUUUAACCAACCAUCCACUCAAUCUUAGGAAACCACAAUAAUUCUAACCGCACAUCCCUUCAUUCAAGAGCUGAAAACUUGCAAGUACUAAUGACUUAGUUCUUUUAAAAGGAUAGGAGAUCAAUUUUAUAUAUAUAUAAAUAUAUAUAUAUAUAUAUAUAUAUAUAUAUAUAUAUAUAUAUAUAUAUAUAUAUAUAUAUAUAGUUUGACUGGGCUACUAUCGGCAGUAAACUGCUCGGUUUACUACCGAUUUAUUUUUGAUGAUAGAGCUUCCAAAUCGACAAUCGGCACUGUUGAAUAUGAUCUAGACCAUUUAAAUUAUCUAGAAAUCAAAUUUCAUGAUUUUUUGGCAUCACUAACUGAACGAUCAAAGGGUCACAAAAUCUAUAAUUUUAAUGGCCGAUAUGGUGCGUUUGCUCGUUUAACGGUAUAGAAGAGUUCAAAUCAAUUAAUUUUUUGUAAAAACAUUCUUUAAACUAUUUAAAAUAAGAUCUAAACUCUAGAUCUCAAAUAUAAAAAUUGUAUCAUCACUUUUUGAAGGAUGUUCAUUUCCAGCCAUUCAUUUUUCUGUUCACUUGAUGGACAAGACAACAAUAUCGAAAAUGUGUGAAAUUUAAUUUCCAGAUAGUUUAAAUAGUCACUACAACAAAAACGGUCUAUAACGACACUUUUAAAUGACGGUACUGGUCAAAAAACGUGUUGCUGGCUAAAUUACCGACACUUUUAAAAAGUGUUGCUAUAUGUGGGGUCGCUAGGUAUAUAGUGACAGUUAAAGAGUGUCGCUAUAAUCUAAAAAAGUGCUGCUAAUUUACCAACACUUAUUUAAGCAUUUAGCAACCACCGAAACUCUAUCUCGUUGGCUGUGGUGGCGGAGGAAGACGAGAGGGAAGGGCUUUUCGUCUAGGAUUUCAGUGAAUUGAGUGAGAGGAGGAGAUAUGGUAAUCGAUUUUUUUUUUCUUUUUUAUUUGCAAUCGGACCGAAUGGGUUAGGUGGGGUGGGUUAAGUAGAGUAACCUUUUAUUUUUGGUUGGAUUGGGCUUUAUAUUUAGACAUUAGUAGGUUUUUUUUAAGUUUUGGUAUAAAUGUGACACUUACACAAAAGUGUCCCAAACAUGUGUCCCUAUAACCUAAUUCUGUUGUAGUGAGUUUAUAUCAUGUUUAACGGUGCCGAUCAUCAAUUUGGAAGCUCUAUCAUCGAAAACAAAUCGGUAGUAAACCGAGCAGUUUACUACCGAUAGUAGCCCAGUCAAACUCUCUCUCUCUCUCUCUCUCUCUCUCUCUCUCUCUCUCUCUCUAUAUAUAUAUAUAUAUAUCCAUAGAGUCCGGCUACUAUACUCUUAUAAGUAUAGAGCCUCUUGUACUCAUAAGUUUUUGCCGUUAGAUAUACCAUUUAAUCAUUUUUAUCCAUUAGAUUAUACUAUUCAACCAACCACCCACUCAACCCUAAGGGGCCCACUAUCAACUUAACCGUAACCACUUUCAUCCUAACCGCAUAUUUUUUUCAUCUGAACGGCUGAAAACUUAUGAAUACAAAAGGCUCUAUACUCAUAUAAGCAUAAUAGCCCCAGCCUAUAU
Molecule: long non-coding RNA, 1866 nt
Filed under: Ananas comosus (pineapple)
Lineage: Eukaryota; Viridiplantae; Streptophyta; Magnoliopsida; Poales; Bromeliaceae
Description: long non-coding RNA (ACOM_LNC018307)
Source: RNAcentral